This is a non-coding RNA of Macaca mulatta (Rhesus monkey), 2048 nucleotides long. Lineage: Eukaryota; Metazoa; Chordata; Mammalia; Primates; Cercopithecidae. The record is from RefSeq and is a predicted model, not a curated record.
AGCAAGACUCCGUUUCAAAAAAAAAAAAAAAAAGAAGCUAAAAGAUGCUCAUCCAUAGAGCCAAAAGAAGCUCUGUGGGGAAUCAGAACAGGAUUGGAUAUGGAUUGAAAAACUGGGACUUGAAGUGCAGGCUUGCAGCUUCCUGGCUUGCAACUUCCUAGCAGUGGCACCAUGGAUGGCCAUUUAGAGAGGCAUGUUGUUCAGUGCCAAAAACAUGGGGUUCUGAAGGCGCAUCAGCCUGGGCUUGAAUACUGGCUCUGCCACCAAAGCCAUUUACUGACAGCCUUCAUGGCCUCUUCGCAAGAGUAGUGGAACUGUGUGAUCACAGUGGACCUUCUAAUGCGUUACUCUACAAAGAGCUUAUAGAAAAAAUGGAAUGAAGAAAAGCUUCCAUUCACCCGAUAAACAGAAAGAAUUCGGAUCUAUGGCAGUUUUUACCAGGGCUGAGUCUGCCAACGGAGCCCGCAUGUUCAUCCUUUGAUACACAUGAGCAGGGCCCCCCGCAUGCUAAAGUCCACGGCCCACCCCACCCCUACAGUCUUUUGUUAAUGAGCCAUGAACAAACCAUACACAGAAAGCAGCUUCUUUUUUUCUUCAAUUUAAUUGAAGUUACUUAGAAAAAUAAUCAGGCUUGAAUGGCUUUUCCUGGAGGAAGGUUCAUGAACAUUUUCACGCUUUUGUUGGCAAUGUGGAAUUCAGCUUUCUUUAACAGUACAGCAAGAUACAGGGAGCGUUUUCUACAACAGGCCCUCUACUGCAUACAAAUAUGUAAAAAAAGAAAAUCACACUCCACAAAGAUGUGAAAUUACAUGUCCAUAUGCCAUACUGAGCAUGCUCAUAAGAAAUUAGUAUGGGCAGCUCCUUCUGGACCUAACAAAGUAUAGCAGACUGACGUUUGCCUGUUAUCAGCCAAGGGUCAAGCGGAUUCUAGAAGGCCUUGUUGCCUGUAGGGUUCUAACUGGUUGUGAUGGAAAAAGGUUGGAGGAAAUGCUGGUGGUGGGAACUUGGGGGAGUGAUGUGGUCAGUCCUGCUGACAUAGAAGUGGGCAAGGAAGGGAUUUGGUCACUGGGAUUGCACAGAAUGGGGCAGCUGAGAUUGUGUGUGUGUGUGUGUGUAUGUGUGUGUGUAUGUAGGGGAGGACUGGCUAGGAAAGCAAGCAGAGUCUCUCGGCUUCUUCUGCCAACUCUAUCUCAGCGCUGAUCGAGACCCCACCAGCCAAGCAUUUGUGGGACCCACACACUUUGUUCUGGAGCUUUCUAGUAGCCAGGAUUAGACCCCUGUGCUUCAUGCUUUUGCCACCAGGUGAACCGGUGCAACUUGCAACUGAAGUUUCCACUGCCCGCUGCUCUCCUGUGGCAUCCACAUCCUGAAUAGGCAGGAGGGUGCAGCUCACCUGGUGCACAGGGAGGAGGAGGAACGUCCCCUCUGAGACACUACAGGCACACUUCACCAGUGGAUUUCUUUAACCAAGGACACAGAAUUUAUACAUUCUGCAAAAAACAGUUGAAUCCAUUUUUUUUUUUUUAAGUUUCAAUGCCAUUAGAAAAGAAAAUGUGAACACAAAGCAAAACACGGGGAGAAAGAGUCCCUCAUUCCAGAAAUCUAUUGAUGUCAUGUCCCCUGAAGGACAAUCUUUCUCACUUAAGAGAGAGAAGCCGGAUGAAAGAAGGCCAUCUUCACAUGACAGUGAGCUGGCUUGUACAACUGAUCAAAGACGGACAUAGAAAUGCAAAGCAACAUGAAUUUCCAUUGAAAAUCCCCCAAAAAGCACAGGGAACGAUUCCAAACUAUGAAACUGAAGAAACACUCAUCAAGAGAUCAUCUGUUCCCACUGAGCACCCUUUUGAGCUUGAGGAGGAGGGAGCCACCCUGGGCCCUAUACCCUACUCGCCCUCUCCUCUCUUCCUUCUGUCCACACCACCCAAGACUUCCUCCACUCCCUCUGGGAGGGAUGGAAUCGUAGUCCAUGGCAGUAUCCAGGAUUAGAACCAUUGCACUUAAGUAAAAGCUUAAUUCAUUUAAUAAAGUACCUCUUGCUAUAUAAACCA